GAGUUUGAUCCUGGCUCAGAACGAACGCUGGCGGCGUGCUUAACACAUGCAAGUCGAACGUGAUCCAGAGCUUGCUCUGGUGAAAGUGGCGCACGGGUGAGUAACGCGUGGAUAACCUGCCCUGGUAUCUGGGAUAACAUCUCGAAAGGGGUGCUAAUACCGGAUAAGCCUACGGACUCCUCGGAGUCUGCAGGAAAAGGAGGCCUCUAUUUAUAAGCUUCCGUAUCAUGAUGGGUUCGCGUACCAUUAGCUAGUUGGUGGGGUAAUGGCCUACCAAGGCGACGAUGGUUAGCUGGUCUGAGAGGAUGACCAGCCACACUGGAACUGAGACACGGUCCAGACUCCUACGGGAGGCAGCAGUGGGGAAUUUUGCGCAAUGGGGGAAACCCUGACGCAGCAACGCCGCGUGAGUGAUGAAGGCUUUCGGGUCGUAAAGCUCUGUCAGAGGGGAAGAAAUGAAACGUGCUAAUAUCACGUUUUCUUGACGGUACCCUCAAAGGAAGCACCGGCUAACUCCGUGCCAGCAGCCGCGGUAAUAC
Molecule: ribosomal RNA, 539 nt
Filed under: uncultured Geobacteraceae bacterium
Lineage: Bacteria; Pseudomonadati; Thermodesulfobacteriota; Desulfuromonadia; Geobacterales; Geobacteraceae
Description: bacterial SSU rRNA
Rfam family: Bacterial small subunit ribosomal RNA
Source: RNAcentral